RNAcentral lists this ribosomal RNA (483 nucleotides) under uncultured bacterium. Its description in RNAcentral is "partial 16S ribosomal RNA". It matches the Rfam family "Bacterial small subunit ribosomal RNA", at positions 28 to 507 of the family's 1533-position model. The record is from RNAcentral.
GACGAACGCUGGCGGCGUGCUUAACACAUGCAAGUCGAACGCUGAAGCUCAGCUUUUGUUGGGUGGAUGAGUGGCGAACGGGUGAGUAACACGUGAGUAACCUGCCCCCUUCUUUGGGAUAACGCCCGGAAACGGGUGCUAAUACUGGAUAUUCACUGGUCUUCGCAUGGGGGUCGGUGGAAAGGGGAUUUCUGGUGGGGGAUGGGCUCGCGGCCUAUCGGCUUGUUGGUGGGGUGAUGGCCUACCAAGGCUUUGACGGGUAGCCGGCCUGAGAGGGUGCCCGGUAACAUUGAGACGGCGAUACGGCCUAGACUACUACGGGAGGCAGCAGUGGGGAAUAUUGCACAAUGGGCGCAAGCGUGAUGCAGCGACGCCGCGUGAGGUAUGGAGGCCUUCGGGUUGUGAACCUCUUUCGCUCAUAGUCAAGCCGCAACAAUGGUUGUGGUGAGGGUAGUGGGUAAAGAAGCGCCGGCUAACUACGUG